Molecule: ribosomal RNA, 492 nt
Filed under: uncultured bacterium
Lineage: Bacteria
Description: partial 16S ribosomal RNA
Rfam family: Bacterial small subunit ribosomal RNA
Source: RNAcentral
AGUGAACGCUGGCGGCAGGCCUAACACAUGCAAGUCGAGCGACAGCACAGUAAGCGCUCGCCUCUAACGGUAGCGAGUGACGGACGGGUGACGCGUACAUAACCAUCUUAUUAUUCGUGGGGGAUAUCGUAAGACCACUUCUGCUAAUACCGAAUACGAUCUACCGGUGAGAUCAGUGGAUAUUCGGACCUUGCCCGAUACAAUGAGACGAUGUCGGAUUAGCUAGUUGGCGGGGUAAAGGCCCACCAAGGCAACGAUACGUAGCUGAUCUGAGAGGAUGAUCGGCCACACUGGAACUGAGACACGGUCCAGACUCCUACGGGAGGCAGCAGUGGGGAAUAUUGGACAAUGGGCGAAAGCCUGAUCGAGCCAUACCGCGUGAGUGAAGAAGGCCUUCGGAUUGUAAAGCUCUGUUGUUGGGGAAGAAAAGAAGCAGGUUAAUAUCCCGCCGUUCUGACGGUACCCAAAGAGUAAGCACCGGCUAACUUCGUG